UUUAAAUUGGAUGCGAUCCACCAACCUAAUCCCAAGACCAAUCACUGACGAAGGAUUGAGUGGUUUUGUUGGAGUCGGAGCGAGCUCGGGAUAAUAGAGUCCCUUGAGAUGGCAAGAAUGUCAUGUAUGUUAGAAGUGCAAUAUUAUCAUAAGGAGACGUAUACUUGGAAUAUGGAGGAGAAAUGGAGGGGAACAAGAGGCAGAGGAGGUCGCAGAGAGAGGGAGGAAGAGGGGGAGCUUGAAUUCAUAAAAAAAGAAAAUGGCUGGAAAAAAGUGAGAUGGUUUGUUGAAGAAGAAUGUGUAAGCAGAGUGAGCCGUACACCAAAUCGAGGUCUGGAGGAGAAAUGGAAGUGAAUGAGGGCGAAUUAUCGGAGGUGGCAGGUGUGAAGUUCUGAGCUCAAGGCUUGCACCGAUGGUCAGGAUAAAGAUGAGUCUGGCAGUAGGAGUGACAUUUUUGGAGGAAGUGGACCCCUGUUUUUUGACUGAUCCAUUUGUGGUUUCAGGGUGGGUGAAAACAGAGUCGGGUGCUGUGGAAUCGGAGAAGAGUGAGCUGCCUGAAGCUGAGCAAGAUAAUGGAGGAUCAACAGAGUCGGUGAAAGAAAAAGAAAUGAAGUCAGAUUUAGCCCUUCAGAGUCUGCACGAGAAUACAACCAACACUGGGACUUAGCUACUCCUUAAAUCAGGGGUGGGCAUUUCCAGACCUCGAGGGCCUGAUUAGUGUCACAGUUUUGCCCCAGCUAACACACCUGACUUCAAUAAUCACCUAAUCAUGAUCUUUAGUUUAGAAUGCAAUUUGAUUAAUCAGCUGUGUUUGCUAGGGAUGGAGAAAAAGUGACCCCAAUCAGGCCCUCGAGGAGUUGCCCACCCCUGCCGUAAAUGGAUGCUGUGCCUUUUCCAAUGUACCCGUGGUUGAACAGUUGUCUGUUUCCUGUAGUCUUACGAUUGUCAAAAUAAAAUUAUUGACCUGG
RNA transcript from Salmo salar (Atlantic salmon), 968 nucleotides. It is a transcript of the gene named anaphase-promoting complex subunit 13, with no coding region annotated. The record is from RefSeq and is a predicted model, not a curated record. Lineage: Eukaryota; Metazoa; Chordata; Actinopteri; Salmoniformes; Salmonidae.